AUUUCAAUUUAUUAAUAAUUUCUUAAUUGAAAAGUUUCCUUAUAAUUUUACAUAUUUCUGUUGCUGCGAUUGGUAUUUAUUUUUUUUAGAUUGAUUCUGGCUCUGUCUUUAAACAAUUGGGGAAAUUCGUUGGCGAUUUCGCGCACUAACUGCUGAUCGGAUGCACUGCAUUCGGUCUCCUCGCAAAAGAUGCGCAUAAAGAUCUUCAUGAGUUCGAUGUUCGCUUGCGAUGCUUGGUCCUGAUAGUUUGUGUUGCGCAAAAUGCGACGACACAGCUCCAAAUAGCACGGUCGUAACUAACACCCAGAAUAUUAGUAAGGUAAUUAUAUAAUACAUAUAUUAUUACUUAACACAUUGCCCGCAUCCAGAUCGGAAAGUUGACGCACCACAAUAUCGAUGAGGUCAUUGAUAUGGUUUGUAUAAAACAUGCCAGCCGCGUCCGGAUGACUGAAGAUGUCAAUAAACAUGCGCAGCACCGUGUUCAUGUGCUCAUUGUGAUGCUUAAGCAGUCGCGUUGGAUCAUCUAAGUAUUAUAGUAUAUAGUAUUAAUCACAAAAUAAAGUACACAUUGUUUGGCUUUACCUUCUCGAUUGAGGACCAACAA
Drosophila sulfurigaster albostrigata is the source of this 604-nucleotide long non-coding RNA. RefSeq lists it as uncharacterized. The transcript is spliced from 2 exons. NCBI's taxonomy places the organism in Eukaryota, Metazoa, Arthropoda, Insecta, Diptera, Drosophilidae. The record is from RefSeq and is a predicted model, not a curated record.